AGGCAUCCUCAACGAACUGUUCUGAGAAGUUGGCCUUCUGGAAGGGGUCGAAAUACCCUGCCGGAUUGCCUGCCAUCCACGAGUAUACCCGUGUGGAGCUGAGCCACUGGAGGAACAGAUAGGCGGCCUCCGGAUUGGCGCUGUUGGAACUCACUGUGCCGGUGAUGUUGUAGUAAAUCACCGAACGGCGCACCAGAUCGCCAUCAUGGUUCACACCGGGUGGAAUAUAGGCGC
This 234-nucleotide non-coding RNA is filed under the name Sulfitobacter mediterraneus. RNAcentral's name for it is "Ruegeria cis90 sRNA". It matches the Rfam family "Ruegeria cis90 sRNA". Rfam says of the family: Cis-encoded. Lineage: Bacteria; Pseudomonadati; Pseudomonadota; Alphaproteobacteria; Rhodobacterales; Roseobacteraceae. The record is from Rfam by way of RNAcentral.